GAUGAACGCUGGCGGCGUGCUUAACACAUGCAAGUCGAACGAUGAAGCCCAGCUUGCUGGGUGGAUUAGUGGCGAACGGGUGAGUAACACGUGAGUAACCUGCCCUUAACUCUGGGAUAAGCCUGGGAAACUGGGUCUAAUAACGGAUAGGAGCGUCCACCGCACGGAGGGUGUUGGAAAGAUUUAUCGGUUUUGGAUGGACUCGCGGCCUAUCAGCUUGUUGGUGAGGUAAUGGCUGACCAAGGCGACGACGGGUAGCCGGCCUGAGAGGGUGACCGGCCACACUGGGACUGAGACACGGCCCAGACUCCUACGGGAGGCAGCGGUGGGGAAUAUUGCGCAAUGGGCGCAAGCCUGAUGCAGCGACGCCGCGUGAGGGAUGACGGCCUUCGGGUUGUAAACCUCUUUCAGUAGGGAAGAAGCGAAAGUGACGGUACCUGCAGAAGAAGCACCGGCUAACUACGUG
This 466-nucleotide ribosomal RNA is filed under the name uncultured bacterium. Its description in RNAcentral is "partial 16S ribosomal RNA". It matches the Rfam family "Bacterial small subunit ribosomal RNA", at positions 28 to 507 of the family's 1533-position model. The record is from RNAcentral.